RNAcentral lists this ribosomal RNA (460 nucleotides) under uncultured bacterium. RNAcentral's name for it is "partial 16S ribosomal RNA". It matches the Rfam family "Bacterial small subunit ribosomal RNA", at positions 338 to 795 of the family's 1533-position model. The record is from RNAcentral.
CCUACGGGAGGCAGCAGUGAGGAAUAUUGGUCAAUGGGCGCGAGCCUGAACCAGCCAAGUAGCGUGCAGGACGACUGCCCUACGGGUUGUAAACUUCUUUUAUACAGGAAUAAAGUGAGGCACGUGUAGCUUUUUGUAUGUACUUUAUGAAUAAGGAUCGGCUAACUCCGUGCCAGCAGCCGCGGUAAUACGGAGGAUCCGAGCGUUAUCCGGAUUUAUUGGGUUUAAAGGGAGCGUAGAUUGGUUGUUAAGUCAGCUGUGAAAGUUUGAGGCUCAACCGUGAAAUUGCAAUUGAUACUGGCAGCCUUGAGUACGGUUGAGGUAGGCGGAAUUCGUGGUGUAGCGGUGAAAUGCUUAGAUAUCACGAAGAACUCCGAUUGCGAAGGCAGCUUGCUAGGCUGCCACUGACAUUGAUGCACGAAAGUGUGGGGAUCGAACAGGAUUAGAUACCCCGGUAGUC